This 253-nucleotide ribosomal RNA is filed under the name uncultured bacterium. Its description in RNAcentral is "partial 16S ribosomal RNA". It matches the Rfam family "Bacterial small subunit ribosomal RNA", at positions 524 to 776 of the family's 1533-position model. The record is from RNAcentral.
UACGUAGGGUGCGAGCGUUAAUCGGAAUUACUGGGCGUAAAGCGUGCGCAGGCGGUUUUGUAAGCCAGAUGUGAAAUCCCCGGGCUUAACCUGGGAACGGCGUUUGAAACUGGCAGGCUAGAGUUUGGCAGAGGGGGGUGGAAUUCCACGUGUAGCAGUGAAAUGCGUAGAGAUGUGGAGGAACACCGAUGGCGAAGGCAGCCCCCUGGGCCAAAACUGACGCUCAGGCACGAAAGCGUGGGGAGCAAACAGG